CAGCAGCCGCGGUAAUACGAAGGGUGCAAGCGUUACUCGGAAUUACUGGGCGUAAAGCGUGCGUAGGUGGUGGUUUAAGUCCGUUGUGAAAGCCCUGGGCUCAACCUGGGAAUUGCAGUGGAUACUGGGUCACUAGAGUGUGGUAGAGGAUAGUGGAAUUUCCGGUGUAGCAGUGAAAUGCGUAGAGAUCGGAAGGAACAUCUGUGGCGAAGGCGACUAUCUGGGCCAACACUGACACUGAGGCACGAAAGCGUGGGGAGCAAACAGGAUUAGAUACCCCAGUAGUCCCUGUCUCUUAUCA
Molecule: ribosomal RNA, 301 nt
Filed under: uncultured bacterium
Lineage: Bacteria
Description: partial 16S ribosomal RNA
Rfam family: Bacterial small subunit ribosomal RNA
Source: RNAcentral